This is a non-coding RNA of Glycine soja, 87 nucleotides long. Lineage: Eukaryota; Viridiplantae; Streptophyta; Magnoliopsida; Fabales; Fabaceae. The record is from Rfam.
GGAGAGAUGGUUGAGUGGACUAAAGCGUCGAAUUACUAAUCGGUUGUGCAAAUUUUUGUACCGAGGGUUCAAAUCCCUCCCUUUCCG